UAGGGAAUAUUGCACAAUGGGGGAAACCCUGAUGCAGCGACGCCGCGUGAGUGAUGAAGGCCUUCGGGUUGUAAAGCUCUGUUCUCAGGGAAUAAAAAAAUGAAGGUACCUGAGGAGAAAGGACCGGCUAACUUCGUGCCAGCAGCCGCGGUAAGACGAGGGGUCCAAGCGUUGCUCGGAAUCAUUGGGCGUAAAGCGAGUGUAGGUGGCUUUGUAAGUCAGGAGUGAAAGCCCAAGGCUUAACCUUGGAAGUGCUUUUGAUACUGCGAAGCUUGAAUGUGGGAGAGGAUCGUGGAAUUCCAGGUGUAGUGGUGAAAUACGUAGAUAUCUGGAGGAACACCGGUGGCGAAGGCGGCGAUCUGGCCCAACAUUGACACUGAGACUCGAAAGUGCGGGGAUCAAACAGGAUUAGAUACCCCGGUAGUCC
RNAcentral lists this ribosomal RNA (427 nucleotides) under uncultured bacterium. Its description in RNAcentral is "bacterial SSU rRNA". It matches the Rfam family "Bacterial small subunit ribosomal RNA", at positions 355 to 796 of the family's 1533-position model. The record is from RNAcentral.